GACGAACGCUGGCGGCGUGCUUAACACAUGCAAGUCGAACGGAAAGGCCCUGCUUUUGUGGGGUGCUCGAGUGGCGAACGGGUGAGUAACACGUGAGUAACCUGCCCUUGACUUUGGGAUAACUUCAGGAAACUGGGGCUAAUACCGGAUAGGAUCUCCUGCUGCAUGGUGGGGGUUGGAAAGUUUCGGCGGUUGGGGAUGGACUCGCGGCUUAUCGGCUUGUUGGUGGGGUAGUGGCUUACCAAGGCUUUGACGGGUAGCCGGCCUGAGAGGGUGACCGGGGACCUGGGGACUACGAUAGGGAGCAGACGCGAACGGGCGGCAAUGGGGGGGAGUCUGGCGGAGUGGGCGGGAGUGUGUGAUGGCGGUGCUGGGUGCGGGAUGAUGUGUUACGGGUGGUAAACAGAUGUCGCCGGUAACGUGGAGAGCGUGACGGUACUGAAUCAAGAAGCAACGGCUAACUACGUG
Molecule: ribosomal RNA, 468 nt
Filed under: uncultured bacterium
Lineage: Bacteria
Description: partial 16S ribosomal RNA
Rfam family: Bacterial small subunit ribosomal RNA
Source: RNAcentral